AUUGAACGCUGGCGGCAUGCUUUACACAUGCAAGUCGAGCGGCAGCGCGGGGGCAACCCUGGCGGCGAGCGGCGAACGGGUGAGGAAACCAUCGGAACGUGCCCGAGAGUGGGGGAUAACGCCGCGAAAGCGGCGCUAAUACCGCAUAUUCUCUGAGGAGGAAAGUGGGGGACCGCAAGGCCUCACGCUCCCGGAGCGGCCGAUGUCGGAUUAGCUAGUUGGUGGGGUAAAGGCCUACCAAGGCGACGAUCAGUAGUUGGUCUGAGAGGACGGCCAGCCACACUGGGACUGAGACACGGCCCAGACUCCUACGGGAGGCAGCAGUGGGGAAUUUUGGACAAUGGGCGCAAGCCUGAUCCAGCCAUGCCGCGUGAGUGAAGAAGGCCU
RNAcentral lists this ribosomal RNA (387 nucleotides) under uncultured bacterium. RNAcentral's name for it is "bacterial SSU rRNA". It matches the Rfam family "Bacterial small subunit ribosomal RNA", at positions 29 to 417 of the family's 1533-position model. The record is from RNAcentral.